AAUAUAGUGGCUGAAUAAGGUGUUAGACUGUAAAUCUAAUUAUGAGAUUAACAUUCUCCUAUAUUA
RNAcentral lists this transfer RNA (66 nucleotides) under Lepidurus arcticus. RNAcentral describes it as "tRNA-Tyr". It matches the Rfam family "tRNA". Rfam says of the family: Transfer RNA (tRNA) molecules are approximately 80 nucleotides in length. Lineage: Eukaryota; Metazoa; Arthropoda; Branchiopoda; Notostraca; Triopsidae. The record is from RNAcentral.